UACGGGGGGAGCAAGCGUUGUUCGGAUUUACUGGGCGUAAAGGGCGCGUAGGCGGCCAGCACAAGUCAGUUGUGAAAUCUCCGAGCUUAACUCGGAAAGGUCAACUGAUACUGUGCGGCUAGAGUGCAGAAGGGGCAACUGGAAUUCUUGGUGUAGCGGUGAAAUGCGUAGAUAUCAAGAGGAACACCUGCGGCGAAGGCGGGUUGCUGGGCUGACACUGACGCUGAGACGCGAAAGCGUGGGGAGCGAACAGG
This 254-nucleotide ribosomal RNA is filed under the name uncultured bacterium. RNAcentral describes it as "partial 16S ribosomal RNA". It matches the Rfam family "Bacterial small subunit ribosomal RNA", at positions 524 to 776 of the family's 1533-position model. The record is from RNAcentral.